AGGGGAGUAAGCUAGUGGUCCACGCGCGCGGUCUCCAAAACCGUGAACCCGGGUUCGAAUCCCGGCUCCCCUG
This 73-nucleotide transfer RNA is filed under the name Acidobacteriota bacterium. Its description in RNAcentral is "tRNA-Trp". It matches the Rfam family "tRNA". From Rfam's summary of the family: Transfer RNA (tRNA) molecules are approximately 80 nucleotides in length. The record is from RNAcentral. Lineage: Bacteria; Pseudomonadati; Acidobacteriota. RNAcentral also lists the same sequence under 2 other names.